GCUAGUAAUGGCAGGUCAGCAUACUGCCGUGAAUACGUUCCCGGGCCUUGUACACACCGCCCGUCACACCAUGAGAGUUGGGGAUACCCGAAGCCUGUGAGCCAACAGUUAAAUGGGGCAGCAGUCGAAGGUAGAAUCAAUGAUUGGGGUGAAGUCGUAACAAGGUACC
This 169-nucleotide ribosomal RNA is filed under the name uncultured bacterium. RNAcentral describes it as "partial 16S ribosomal RNA". It matches the Rfam family "Bacterial small subunit ribosomal RNA", at positions 1334 to 1500 of the family's 1533-position model. The record is from RNAcentral.